Molecule: ribosomal RNA, 415 nt
Filed under: uncultured bacterium
Lineage: Bacteria
Description: bacterial SSU rRNA
Rfam family: Bacterial small subunit ribosomal RNA
Source: RNAcentral
UGCCAGCAGCCGCGGUAAUACAUAUGGUGCAAGCGUUAUCCGGAUUUAUUGGGCGUAAAGCGCGCGUAGGCGGUUUGGUAAGUUAGAAGUUAAAUUCCAGGGCUCAACCCUGGUUCGCUUUUAAAACUGCCAAGCUAGAGUUUUGGAGAGGGAAGGGGAACUAACAGAGUAGCGGUGAAAUGCGUAGAUACUGUUAGGAACACCAGUGGCGAAGGCGCCUUCCUGGACAAUAACUGACGUUAAAGUGCGAAAGCGUGGGGAGCAAACAGGAUUAGAUACCCUGGUAGUCCACGCUGUAAACGAUGUACAUUAGGUGUAGGGGGUAUCGACCCCCUCUGUGCCGAAGCUAACGCGUUAAAUGUACCGCCUGGGGAUUACGGCCGCAAGGCUAAAACUUAAAGGAAUUGGCGGGGGA